UCUCUCUCUCUCUCUCUCUCUCUCUCUCUCUCUCACAAAACAGUUGAGGGGAAUGUUGUCUGGUUCGAGAUCCUUCACAACUGUAGAGCUUAAGCAUAGUCUGAAUGAUUUCGGACCAGGCUUCAUUCCCCUCAACUAAGAGAAAUAAUUCACUACUUUAUAUACAUAUCAUGCAUUAAUUAAAAUGCAAUGAAUGAGAGCCUCUUGCCUUACUUAUGGUAGUAUUUAUGCAGAAGCUGCAGAUUUUCAAUUGAGGAAAGCAGAGCAGCUAGCCUACCUGUAGCCGAAAUUGACAACCGGAGCAAGCAUCAUCAGUGGGACAGACCUCCUGGAUAUUGACAACUGUAGCUUCUCAAUUGGCUGCUUUGAUAUGAUUUUACUUUGUCGGGGUGGAAAAAGGAAAAAACUUGCACAAGCAGAGCAGUGUAUCCACAAGCUAAGGCGAGAGAAACAAAUGCAAAUGCAAAUGUACAGUUUCAUGAUGUGAGAACGAUAUCAAUGUGUAAGAGUUAUAAUUGUGGUUCGGAUUCUCAUUUUGAAAGAAGGGUUGAAAAAAUGGAAUCCAAGUACUUUUGUUUGUAGGGUUUGAUUGGACUUAAGAGAGAUGAGAAAUAAUAGUGGGGGAUGAAAGAUUACAAAGUGAGAAAAA
Molecule: non-coding RNA, 649 nt
Organism: Prunus avium (sweet cherry)
Lineage: Eukaryota; Viridiplantae; Streptophyta; Magnoliopsida; Rosales; Rosaceae
Source: RefSeq, a predicted model, not a curated record